Molecule: ribosomal RNA, 500 nt
Filed under: uncultured bacterium
Lineage: Bacteria
Description: bacterial SSU rRNA
Rfam family: Bacterial small subunit ribosomal RNA
Source: RNAcentral
AACGAACGCUGGCGGCGUGGAUAAGACAUGCAAGUCGAACGAUUACUAGUGGGUAGCAAUAUUCGCUAGUGAGAGUGGCGCAAGGGUGCGUAACACGUGGGUAAUUUGCCGUGAAGUCUGGGAUAACUUGCUGAAAGGCGAGCUAAUACCGGAUGUAAUUACUGGGAGGCAUCUUCUGGUACUUAAAGUCGGGGACCGCAAGGCCUGACACUUCUCGAUAAGCCCGCGGCCUAUCAGCUAGUUGGUGAGGUAACGGCUCACCAAGGCUAAGACGGGUAGCUGGUCUGAGAGGACGACCAGCCACACUGGAACUGAGACACGGUCCAGACACCUACGGGUGGCAGCAGUCGAGAAUUUUUCUCAAUGGGCGAAAGCCUGAAGGAGCGACGCCGCGUGGGGGAUGAAUGGCUUCGGCCCGUAAACCCCUGUCAUUUGCGAUCAAACCUCACGACUUAACACGUCGUGAGCUGAUAGUAGCGGAAGAGGAAGGGACGGCUAAC